RNAcentral lists this small RNA (126 nucleotides) under Marmota monax (woodchuck). Lineage: Eukaryota; Metazoa; Chordata; Mammalia; Rodentia; Sciuridae. The record is from RNAcentral.
GCCAGGCUCUGUGGUGAGCACCUGUGAUCCCAGCGGCUCGGGAGGCUGAGACAGGAGGAUCGUGAGUUCAAAGCCAGCCUCAGCAAAAAGCAAGGCACUAAGCCACUCAGUGAGACCCUGUCUCUA